This 73-nucleotide transfer RNA is filed under the name Sporotomaculum syntrophicum. It matches the Rfam family "tRNA". From Rfam's summary of the family: Transfer RNA (tRNA) molecules are approximately 80 nucleotides in length. Their secondary structure includes four short double-helical elements and three loops (D, anti-codon, and T loops). RNAcentral also lists the same sequence under 4 other names. The record is from Rfam by way of RNAcentral. Lineage: Bacteria; Bacillati; Bacillota; Clostridia; Eubacteriales; Desulfallaceae.
GGGCGAUUAGCUCAGUUGGGAGAGCGCCUGCCUUACAAGCAGGAUGUCGGCGGUUCAAGUCCGUCAUCGCCCA